This is a long non-coding RNA of Oncorhynchus keta (chum salmon), 478 nucleotides long. RefSeq lists it as uncharacterized. The transcript has 3 exons. The record is from RefSeq and is a predicted model, not a curated record. NCBI's taxonomy places the organism in Eukaryota, Metazoa, Chordata, Actinopteri, Salmoniformes, Salmonidae.
AUCGUGUUGGUGCUAGCCGUGUUGGUGCCAUUGUGUUGGCGCCAUCGUGUUGGUGCCAGCCAUGUUGGUGCCAUCGUGUUGGUGCUAGCCCCGUUGGUGCCAGCCGUGUUGGUGCCAUCGUGUUGGUGCCAUCGUGUUGGUGCCAUCGUGUUGAUGCUAGCCGUGUUGGUGCCAUCGUGUUGAUGCUAGCCAUGUUGGUGCCAUCGUGUUGAUGCUAAUGUGUUGGUGCUAGCCAUGUUGGUGCUACAUCGUGUUGAUGCUAGCCGUGUUGGUGCCAUCGUGUUGGUGCUAGCCAUGUUGGUGCCAUCGUGUUGGUGCCAUCGUGUUGGUGCCAGACGUGUUGGUGCCAUCGUGUUGGUGCCAUCGUGUUGGUGCUAGCCAUGUUGGUGCCAUCGUGUUGGUGCCAUCGUGUUGGUGCCAUCGUGUUGAUGCCAUCGGGUUGAUGCCAUCGUGUUGGUGCCAUCGUGUUGGUGCCAUC